Molecule: ribosomal RNA, 665 nt
Filed under: uncultured organism
Description: bacterial SSU rRNA
Rfam family: Bacterial small subunit ribosomal RNA
Source: RNAcentral
AAACGUUGAUCACUCGUGUUGGGCAAUACACCGUCAGCGACCUAGCUAAUGCGCUUAGUGAUGCACCUGGGGAGUACGAUCGCAAGGUUGAAACUCAAAGGAAUUGACGGGGGCCCGCACAAGCGGAGGAGCAUGUGGUUUAAUUCGAUGAUACGCGAGGAACCUUACCUGGGCUUAAAUGUAGUGUGCAUUCCCGUGAAUACGGGAUUUCCUUCGGGACCCACUACAAGGUGCUGCAUGGUUGUCGUCAGCUCGUGCCGUGAGGUGUCGGGUCAAGUCCCAUAACGAGCGCAACCCCUAUCUUUAGUUGCUAACAGGUCAUGCUGAGGACUCUAAAGAAACUGCCCGCGCAAGCGGUGAGGAAGGUGGGGAUGACGUCAAAUCAGCACGGCCCUUAUGUCCAGGGCUACACACGUGCUACAAUGGCAGGUACAGUGGGCAGCUAUCACGCAAGUGAAUGCUAAUCUCUAAAACCUGUCUCAGUCCGGAUUGGAGUCUGCAACCCGACUCCAUGAAGCUGGAUUCGCUAGUAAUCGCACAUCAGCCAUGGUGCGGUGAAUACGUUCCCGGGCAUUGUACACACCGCCCGUCAAGCCAUGGAAGCUGGGAGUACCUGAAGUCUGUAACCGUAAGGAGCGGCCUAAGGGUAAACCUGUGACUGGGGC